GAAAAAUUUGAAAACUAACAAAUAGCUGGACAACUAUAUUUAAUCAUUAUUAAAAAAAAUGAUCACAAUAAAUAGAAAUUAACAAUAAGCAAAAUAUCACCAAAAGAUAAAUGAAUCAAUAGUAAAACAUAAGAAAGAACCAAGCAAACAAUUUAUAGAGGUGGGUUACCGUACUGAAGUAUUUUCCAGCCAGAUUUGAAACUCCGCCUGAAUUGCUUCUCGCCAAACUGCUCUUCGGUUGUUGUUGUCCUCGCUGCUGUCCGUUGGAGCUGUUGUUUGCAGCGCGCUGCUGUUGCUCGCUGGUGGUGGUGCUGUUUUUCAGUCAUUUUCAAUGACUGCUUCGCCGCAAAAAAGGGAGAAAACAAAGAGAGGUUAGGUCUGGUUGUUGUGGGUUUGGCGAAGAGAGGGAGAGAGCUUUUUGGGUGAGGGUUGUGCUGGCUUUUGGUGCUCUCUGUUUGAUCUGAGUUUUGGUCCGGAUUCGGUGGGUCUGUUGUGAAGUUGACGGGAAAAACGGGGUCGUUUGGUUCAGCUUAGAGCUUUGCCGAAGCUGCUGGUCGUAAACGAAAAAAACGAAAGAAAUGGGGUUGGCGUUGAGCUGCUUCUUCGGCUGCUGUUACAGAGUUGUUGUUGCCUGAAACUCGCCGGUAAAGAGGAGAGGACGAGCGGACUGUCGGCUGGCGUGCUCUUUGCCGGCACUGCUGUUUGGAAUGGUUGUUUCAGUGUUGCUUCCGAUGGAUUUUUCACCGGAAAAGGGAGAAAAACGAAGGGGUUUGGGGUUUGGGUUUCACCGGAGUUUGGUGGGUGUCAGUGGCGGUUGUUGAUGGUUUGUGGAGGUGGUUUGAAGGUCGAUGCCCGUGGGUUGUUGGGGUCUGUUUUGUUGCUGGAAAUGGUUGGAAAGAGGAGAAGAGAGGAG
Molecule: unclassified non-coding RNA, 913 nt
Filed under: Hevea brasiliensis (rubber tree)
Lineage: Eukaryota; Viridiplantae; Streptophyta; Magnoliopsida; Malpighiales; Euphorbiaceae
Source: RNAcentral